GAAAUGCGAUAAUUAAUGUGAAUUGCAGAAUUCAGUGAAUCAUCGAGUCUUUGAACGCACAUUGCGCCCCCUGGUAUUCCGGGGGGCAUGCCUGUCCGAGCGUCAUUGCUGCCCUCAAGCACGGCUUGUGUGUUGGGCUUCCGUCCCUGGCAACGGGGACGGGCCCAAAAGGCAGUGGCGGCACCAUGUCUGGUCCUCGAGCGUAUGGGGCUUUGUCACCCGCUCCCGUAGGUCCAGCUGGCAGCUAGCCUCGCAACCAAUCUUUUUAACCAGGUUGACCUCGGAUCAGGUAGGGAUACCCGCUGAAGUUAAGC
RNAcentral lists this unclassified non-coding RNA (314 nucleotides) under plant metagenome. RNAcentral's name for it is "partial contains 5.8S ribosomal RNA, internal transcribed spacer 2, and large subunit ribosomal RNA". The stretch from base 1 to 105 matches the Rfam family "5.8S ribosomal RNA", at positions 50 to 154 of the family's 154-position model. The record is from RNAcentral.